GUGGUAAUGCCGGAUGUUCCACAUGAUCGCAUGUGAUUGUGGGAAAGAUUCUAUCGGCGUGGGAUGGGGUCGCGUCCUAUCAGCUUGUUGGUGAGGUAACGGCUCACCAAGGCUUCGACGGGUAGCCGGCCUGAGAGGGCGACCGGCCACAUUGGGACUGAGAUACGGCCCAGACUCCUACGGGAGGCAGCAGUGGGGAAUAUUGCACAAUGGGCGCAAGCCUGAUGCAGCGACGCCGCGUGAGGGAUGGAGGCCUUCGGGUUGUAAACCUCUUUUGUUUGGGAGCAAGCCUUCGGGUGAGUGUACCUUUCGAAUAAGCGCCGGCUAACUACGUGCCAGCAGCCGCGGUAAUACGUAGGGCGCAAGCGUUAUCCGGAUUUAUUGGGCGUAAAGGGCUCGUAGGCGGCUCGUCGCGUCCGGUGUGAAAGUCCAUCGCUUAACGGUGGAUCUGCGCCGGGUACGGGCGGGCUGGAGUGCGGUAGGGGAGACUGGAAUUCCCGGUGUAACGGUGGAAUGUGUAGAUAUCGGAAAGAACACCA
RNAcentral lists this ribosomal RNA (539 nucleotides) under Bifidobacterium bifidum. RNAcentral's name for it is "bacterial SSU rRNA". It matches the Rfam family "Bacterial small subunit ribosomal RNA", at positions 160 to 711 of the family's 1533-position model. Lineage: Bacteria; Bacillati; Actinomycetota; Actinomycetes; Bifidobacteriales; Bifidobacteriaceae. The record is from RNAcentral.